GGGCUUAUAGCUCAGUGGUAGAGUAUACGAUUGCAGCUUGAUUAGAUACUCCUGAUCAGCUUAUCGUGUUGUCCCGUGUUCGAACCACGGUGGGCCCU
Molecule: non-coding RNA, 98 nt
Organism: Epithele typhae
Lineage: Eukaryota; Fungi; Basidiomycota; Agaricomycetes; Polyporales; Epitheliaceae
Source: the annotation of a RefSeq genome assembly